Molecule: long non-coding RNA, 387 nt
Filed under: Capsicum annuum
Lineage: Eukaryota; Viridiplantae; Streptophyta; Magnoliopsida; Solanales; Solanaceae
Description: long non-coding RNA (CANN_LNC000499)
Source: RNAcentral
UUGAAAAUAUAUUGCUCAAAUCAUCUUGUAUUUAGGAAGGAACAUAUGAUCAGUGAAUAUUCAUGUAAUCGAUUUCAAUUUGUUUUGAAAUGAGACAUACCAUUUGUAGGGGGGUGCGCGGAUUUGUAGGUAUAAUAGAUUUGGUACAUAUUUGUAGUGAAUCUAUUUUUAUUUAGUGCGUGGAUGUUAUCUUUUAAUAAUUUACUUUUUUCGUAAGAUAUAUUCAUUAAUUAUUUUAUCCUGUAGUAAUUACAGAGUUACAAAUUCUUGUAUAAUAAUUUAUUCUAUCUGUGCUAUAAUAUAUAUCUAAUUCUAGAUUUUCAAUGUUAUUUAUUAUUUUAUGUUGUUCUUCUCGUAGUGAGUUUUUUAAAUUAUAUAAACUAUCAC